AAAGCUGGCGUCUUCGGCGUCCGCGUUGUAAUCUCGAGACGUGUUUUCCGUGCGGCUCUAUGGACAAGUCCCUUGGAACAGGGCAUCGUAGAGGGUGAAAAUCCCGUACUUGCCAUGGAAGUACCGUGCUUUGUGAUACACGCUCCAAGAGUCGAGUAGUUUGGGAUUGCUGCUCAAAGUGGGUGGUAGACUCCAUCUAAAGCUAAAUAUCGGGGAGAGACCGAUAGCGAACAAGUACCGUGAGGGAAAGAUGAAAAGCACUUUGGAAAGAGAGUUAAAAGUACGUGAAAUUGUCGAAAGGGAAGCACUUGAAGUCAGCCAUGCUGCUUGAGACUCAGCCUGGCUUUUGCUUGGUGUAUUUCUCGGUAGCAAGCCAGCAUUGGUUUGUGUCGUCGGAGAAGCGUAUGGGGAAUGUGGCAUCCUCGGAUGUGUUAUAGCCCUGUGCAGGAUACGACGACGUAGACCAAGGAACGCAGUGUGCCC
This 483-nucleotide ribosomal RNA is filed under the name Malassezia restricta. Its description in RNAcentral is "eukaryotic LSU rRNA". It matches the Rfam family "Eukaryotic large subunit ribosomal RNA", at positions 118 to 607 of the family's 3401-position model. The record is from RNAcentral. Lineage: Eukaryota; Fungi; Basidiomycota; Malasseziomycetes; Malasseziales; Malasseziaceae.